GGUCUGGAACUCCCGACCUCACGUGAUCCACCCACCUCGGCCUCCCAAAGUGCUGGGAUUACAGGCAUGAGCCUCCAUGCCCAGCAAAAAAAAAUGCAUUUUUUUUUUCCAUAGAGAUAGGGUCUUGCUACCUUGCCCAAGACAGACCUCAAACUCCUGGCCCCAAGGGAUCCUGCCACCCCAAGUGAUCCUGCUGCCUUGGUCUCUCAAAGCACUACUGUGCCUGGCCUAUUUUCUUUAUAAUAAUGCUAGGAAUAAGGAACUAAAAAAUAAAAGACAUAGAAAAUGUUCUAGUAGAUUCUGG
This 304-nucleotide long non-coding RNA is filed under the name Homo sapiens (human). RNAcentral describes it as "non-protein coding lnc-MANSC4-1:4". The record is from RNAcentral. Lineage: Eukaryota; Metazoa; Chordata; Mammalia; Primates; Hominidae.